Long non-coding RNA from Rhipicephalus microplus (southern cattle tick), 303 nucleotides. RefSeq lists it as uncharacterized. The record is from RefSeq and is a predicted model, not a curated record. Lineage: Eukaryota; Metazoa; Arthropoda; Arachnida; Ixodida; Ixodidae.
CAGUUGUGGGACAUGAAUGGAUUCCUUGCACGGUACCUUGCUAUGGGGCUUGCUAGCGCACUCGUUGCGCUGAUCAUAGCCCCCUACAACUCUGACACGAUUUCUCCAGACAUAUAGGAAUAUGCAGCACAUGCCAUUGGAGACCUUUUCGGAAGGAAUGAGCAAAAUCUUGAGGAGCAAGGUACUUGUCAACGUAUAACAUUGUGGCCCUCCGGCAGUUGAUAAAUGUUCAAGCCUAAUAAAAUUCAGUGAAUUCAACGAACCGGUAGACUCGUGUACACAUAAUAAAUAUCUCGAAAACAA